AAGCACGAGGUCACCUUCUCGGAGCACACGAGGCUUGACCUUCUUAUCGAAUGCUUUCUUCAUUCUCUGCUGAUAUAACUGACCAUGACACAUGGCAGUUAAUCUUUUCUUUUCGAUCAGAUUCACUUGGUCGUAAUGACUCUGAAUCCAUUCAGCAUCAGUCAACCUGGGAUUUGAGGGUGCUAUUUUCUUUUGUUUCUUUCUUUCUUUUUUCUUUCUUUUGAUUUUG
This 229-nucleotide long non-coding RNA is filed under the name Lathyrus oleraceus (garden pea). RNAcentral's name for it is "Pisum sativum (pea) long non-coding RNA (PSAT_LNC017536)". Lineage: Eukaryota; Viridiplantae; Streptophyta; Magnoliopsida; Fabales; Fabaceae. The record is from RNAcentral.